RNAcentral lists this transfer RNA (89 nucleotides) under Hypoxylon rubiginosum. RNAcentral's name for it is "tRNA-Glu". It matches the Rfam family "tRNA". Rfam says of the family: Transfer RNA (tRNA) molecules are approximately 80 nucleotides in length. Their secondary structure includes four short double-helical elements and three loops (D, anti-codon, and T loops). The record is from RNAcentral. Lineage: Eukaryota; Fungi; Ascomycota; Sordariomycetes; Xylariales; Hypoxylaceae.
ACCAUUGUCGUCCAGUGGUUUAGGAUGCCAGGUUUUCAAAUAUCUACGUUGAUUCCCUGGAGACCGGGGUUCGAACCCCCGCAAUGGUA